AAUUUAAACGUGGCAAGAAGGCCAUAAUGUGUUACAGAGCCCAUUCUAGUACCCUUACACGAAUACAAACUAAACCCAAUUAAAGAAUUAGCCCAUUUAGGACAAAUAGAGAAGAGAAAAAUUUCCAGCCGACGAACUCGUUCUGUGUUGAUGCACGAAUCACGCAAGUACGAAAUAGGGUUUCUCUAGGGAAGUAAAAAGAAUCUCCCAAAAACAAUGCGAGCCGAGAGUACAAAUGGCGUUAAACGAGCCGAAAUGAAUGACUUCGGACUAGAGAUGUCGGGUCGUUUCUGAGGCCGAACUGUAGGUCGUAUUCCGAGCUGAAUGAAGCUUGAGGUCGCUUUCCUUUUCCAGACUGAGAUCGUUCUUCGUGUCCUAGCUGAGCUCUUCGUGUCCUUGCCGUGUCAGCGUGAUUUUCGAUGGAUGUGACAGGACUGGACGUCCUGCUUUUAUAGCCACGCAGAGUAGGGCAUACUCUGACAACUUUUACCGAUUUUACCCUUGGGCGUGAUGACGUUGCGGACCCGUAUGGCGGUGAGAUCGUCUGGGCUUUACUGCCUUUGGGUCGCGGCCCGCUUUAUCGAUGGGCUUCCUUCCUCAAAUUGGGCCGCCUAUCACGAAAGCCCAAUUUCUCCCUCAACAGUUGCCCCCCAAUCAUGACUCGUUGUUUUUACGAGGGUCAUGAUUGCUUUCCUCCUUCCCGAUGCACGCGAGAGGUCGCCCCUCUUUGCUUCGUUUCAGAUCUAUGAGUCUCGGCGACGCGCGCGUGGGGGAAACGCGAGAAUCAAUUCGUCCGAUGCUGCUCCCAAUGUUCGGAGAUCGAAGCGUCCCUCGCGUGUGAAGCCGCUUUGGCUCGUAAUUAUUGCUCGAUUUCGUAGGUAUAAUGACUAUUUUUCGACAUCCUUCGCUUCUAUAAAUACUUCCUCCCCUCUCGUUCACUUCUCACUCUUCUUCCUCUGCCAAAGGUAUAAUCCUCUCUUCUCUAUUUUGAUUUCUCUCAUCCCUUCUUUCUUUUUACGAUGUCGUCCGAUGCUAGUUCUCGCGGGUCGGUCUCUAACCAUCUCCGCUCUCGUACGUCGUCGGAUUCUUCGGAUCGUACACCAAAUGUUGAUCGAUUUCGAGCAAAUUCUUUCGAUGACGACCUGGAAUCUGACUCUUUCCCCCGUAGGAGGAAUUCACCUAGGUCGUCCGACGCCGGUUCAUGGGCAUCUGCAGCCGAACUGAAGCGUCGUGAAUCGUCUUCUCAGCGUGAUUUCGUUGGGGCGACCUCGAUUGUCCCCUUUGUUCCUCGUUUGAUCGACGAGGAUAUCGGUGACGUAAAAUUGACGAACCGGAAGCGGAGAUUGAGCAUGCCGACAUGCCCUUCGGCGUUCCGGGGCCGUCUCCCUACCAUGUCGAUUUUCUGGGCCCGAGCCAGACAAGUGUCGAGACCCUUGCGUAUACUCUUCACUACUGUGACGCUCCGUCUUCGAUUGAAUCUCGCGUCCCGACCCUAUCCGAGCGAACUUGGUCCGCUCCAGCCGGCUUCCUUUGUGUUUAUGAGAGUUUCUUUACGGAGUGCGAUCUUACCUUUCCGAUUCCGGGCUUCCUGCUUGAGUAUGUAGCGAGACGAGAGAUGGCUCUUUCUCAGCUUUCUGUUGCUGCCAUCCGGAACGCGAUAGGCCUUGUUCGGCUGGCGAAUAGGUGUGGCGUGGUGGUCUGUUCAUCUCACUAUGAGGAGGUGACCAAGAUUAAGAGCCUUAGCAAGAAAAAGCCGGGCUUACACUAUGUUCAGUCAUCUACGACUCCUAAGCUUGUCGACGAGGCCAAGAGUAAAACUAAUGACUGGUCGGCGGGAUACUUCUUUGUUAGGAUUUCUACAGAAUCUGUUGGGGACGUUAGGAUUCCGAUCUAUACAGGGUGGAAAAUUUCACCCGGUAGCUUGAGCUCGUCCUCCACCCUCACACUUUUUCCUUUGUUGCUUUCGAUUUUCUUAUGUGUCUUCUCUUUUUAUGCAGCUCAUUUCCCGACGAUAUUCGAUCCAUUUCCCGAGCAGCUCAAGAAGGAUCUCGAAAAGAUUCGCGCUGAGGGUACUUAUAUCUGGCCAUCUACUGUCAAAGUUGCUCGUCGCCCUUCUCGGAAUCCUUCACGCGGUCGUCAAGGUUCUUCUCGUCGAGGGUCCGUUCGUCAAAGUUCCAAAGUUUCUGCUCUUCAAAAGUCAGGUAACGCAUAACCUGUUCGCCUCUGCGGGUUUUCGUUUCCUUGGCUUACAUUAUUUCUGAUAUAGGUCGUAAGUUAAUGGGUAAAUUCGAUCUAAGUGUGGUCCCGGAUUACGCCAGUCGUUACAAAGAGAAGAGGCUGGCCAUGGAAACUCCCGUGGCGAAGCCAUCUCAUUCAGAGGAACGACAAAUGAGGGAGGCCCUGAAGAAGAGUCUCUUAGAUCAGGGAGGGCGUCAAGCCUUCCAGGCCGGCAGUUCUCGGCCGUUGAGCCCUAACUCCGAGAGGGUUAAGAAGAACGAGAUGCUCGCGGCUCGUUUAACUCAGCUGGCUGGUGGGGACGACCGGGUUGCGAUCCUUCCUCUAGGUGAUGAUUCCCGAGCCAUAGGAGCCCGGAGUGGCUCAGUCGAGCCCCUGACCAGGAAGAGGUCGGCUGAUACAGGAGCUCGUCCGAUUGCCCAGAAGAGGCCCGGGUCGCCGACCACCGGUGGUCGUAUCGCUAUGUUGAUAGGGAUGUUCCCUUUACGUCUAAUGCAGACGCCUGUGCGGCUAUAUUCUGCGAGAUGGGUCACGGUCUAGGCUCGUUCCCUCUCAUUAAAGAUCUUCGGGAGCGGGAUGCGUACACUGAGGCGGCCAGGAAAUCGUGCGAGGUUAUUAUUAUUAUUAUUAUUAUUAUUUUUAACUCGCUAUCCUUCCGCUGGCACUUAUAUAUGGUGUUUUUUAGGCGACCUUCGCUGUGAACCGCAUGGUUCAUCUCUAUGAGCGCCGAGUUCGUCGGCUUUCGACCGAGAACCCAAACUCGAAUGAUUAUCAGGCUGCCAUUGCUACGGAGAAGGAGCGGGUAGAUCAGGUCUCGCGAGAGUUGGGUGUUGUUAAGGACAAGGCGGUGAAGCUUAGGGAGAAGGUCAACCUUCUCGAUCAUCACCGGAAUGGGCUGAUUGCAGAGAGGGACCGUUUGAGCCCUGAAGUGGAGGCUGAGAAGGCUUGGUACGACGAGCUCGCUGUGAUCCUCCAUUCCGAAAAGGCCAGACUGCGAGAACGUCGUGCUGAGUACGGCGAAUACUGUCGAGGUAAAGCUCUUGCGAAGAUGGCCCGGCUAUUUCAGGCUCGUCUCACCCGUAUACAGGCUCAUGUUGAGGAUACCCGUGCCGCACAGCCCACACUUCUGCUUUACAACCAGGCAGUCGGCAAUCUCGGUUUUUUGAAAGCUCUAGUGGAAGAUGGCGAGGUCAUCGUCAAGUCAGAGGAGACGCUUUCCAAGAUUGAGGCCGACGUGGCACAGUACCGAGCUGAUCUCGCGGCCUUCGACGUGACUGAACUUGAGGAUGGUGACUUUGACGCCUAUACCCUCUUUGCGGACCGGGAUGAGGUUACUGAGAACCUUCAGUAUGCCGCCUCGGCCGCCAGUGGUAGGGAAGGCGUUGGAGAUGACGAGGUCGAAAAAGAUACUGUUGAUCAGGAUGCUCAGUAGGAGGUCGCUGUUGGAGCUCGUGAGGCCGGGGCCGAACUUCAGGAUGGGGGGUGGUCUUGAUACCGAGGCCACAGCUGCUGAGCGGGCUGGUGACGGCCAGGGGGCUCCACGGGUGGCUACUCCGUUAGCUCAGGUUGUCCAAGACGGGGAGGACGUAGAUAUCGAAGGCUGACCGCGAGGUCAUUUUAAAAGUUUUUUGUUUUGCCGCGUUUGACGGCUUUUUCUUAUCUAGUCCCCGCUUUGUUGGCUUUUGAACUCGUGCCGUUAAUUCGGCUUUUAACUUUGUAGCCGCAAGGUCGGUUUGUUUGAAUCUUGAUUGCCGCUAGGUCGGCUUAUUUUAUAUAUUUUCGCCAGUCUCCUCUUUUCAUUUUAGCUUGUGUUCUUCAGAGGUCGACUCCUAUGUAGGACGGGACGCGGCCGGUUUCUGUGUAAACCUGGUCGUGAUUGGCUUGGUGCGAGUUCACCAAGCCAAUGCGAGGCCUAGAUUACUUCGGUUGUUGGUAGGCUUGGCAGGUUGGGAACUUGUGAGUCCAACCUCGGCCUAUGUGUUUAUUCUGUCGAUAUAAUGCAAGUGCUGGACUUGGCUUGUGCGAAGUUUACCUACUUCGGCUUUUCCGAGUUUGCUCGGAGUGUUCGAGACGGGCUUGAGACAUCGUGAGGUGCGACGCGCGGUGAUCGGCUUACCCUGUAUUGGCCUGAAAAAUCUUUGGGAGUGCGGGUUCGUCCCAGGCUUACGUUUCCCAGUUCAUCGAGGCUUUGCGAGUACGGAGCUCGGCUUUCAGACCCUUAAGUGUAGGUUUUUUCCAAGACUUUUUUAUUUGUUUUGGCAGACUUAAGUAAGGGUGUGCGUUCUCGUUCGAACGUGUUCGAUCGAAUUGCCUGGCCAAGGUAUCGAUGUAUAUUUAGGUUCGGUUGUACUUUUGAAAUCAGAUGGAAAUACAAAAUUUUAUUAAUAUCACAGAUGCGCCCCGCAAGCAGGGCUGCCUACGUACCCCCUGAUCGGAGGGAUCAAGCCGUUUGUAGUUCACAUUACAUAGAGUUUUUUUUUUUUUUUUUUUUUUAGGGAGAUCGAGGUCGUCAGUAGUAGUACCGCUUGAGGUGCAUGGAGUUCCAAGUUCGUGGGACUUCGGUGCCGCUCAUGGUGAGGAGUUCGUAGUCGCCGGGACGAACUAUCUUCGAGACUUGGUACGGCCCCUCCCAGUUUGCUCCUAGUUUGCCGGCGUUGAGUUCAGUUGUAUUUUCGAAGACUUUCCUGAGUACAAGGUCGCCGACGUCGAAGUGGCGGUUGUGUACUUUCUUGUUGUAGUAUCGGGCGGCAGCAAGCUGGUAGUUUUGAACUCGGCAUAAUGCGGUGUUGCGCACUUCCUCAAGUUCGUCGAGUUUAUCAAGCAUCAUCUGGUCGUUGAGGUCGGGAUGGAUUGCCAUCAUAGAACGCCGAAGACUUGAGUAUCCGACUUCGGCUAGAGCCAUUUCUUCCAUGCCAUAAGCUAGCGCAAAUGGUGUUUGCUCGGUGGCGCUGCGGGGUGUAGUUCGGUACGCCCAAAGUACUCCGUCUAGUUCGUCUGCCCAUGCCCCUUUUUUGUCGUCGAGACGUUUUUUGAGACCAGCGAGAAUAGUUUUAUUGGUCGCUUCGGCUUGUCCGUUGCCUUGCGGGUAUCUCGGUGUGGACUUGUUUAGACGAAUUUUCCAGCUCGCACAGAAAUUUUCGAAUGUCAGCGAGAUGAAUUGCGAGCCGUUGUCGGUGAUGAUUUCGUAUGGAAGGCCGUGUUAGCAUAUUAUAUAUUUCCAAACGAAGUUCUAGACAUCCUUGGCUCGUAUCGUCGCGUACGAUUCGGCUUCCACCCAUUUAGUAAAGUAAUCCGUCAUGAUUAGAAUGAACCGUUUUUGUCUCGAGGCCGGUAGUGGGCCGACGAUAUCCAUGGCCCACCUCAUGAACGGGUAUGGUGCCGCACCGACCUUGAGUAGUUUGGUUGGUUGAUGUAUCGAGGGCGCAUGCCUUUGACAUUGGUCGCACUUAGUCGCGAAGUCCUUACAAUCCAAUAUCAUGGUCGGCCAAUAGAAACCCAGCUUUUUGAUUUGCAAAGCGAGAGCUCGUCCGCCGGAGUGGUUGCCGCCGGCCCCCAUGUGUGUUUCCUUCAUUAUCUCUGCGAUAUCAUUGCCGUGUAGGCAGCUCAACCAUGCUCCGGUCGCGCUAAGCUUUAGGAGGCAAUUUUCCAGGGUCGUGUACUUCGCGGCUUUGAUGCGUAAUCGACGUGCUGCCCAUUUAUCUGUUGGGACCGUUCCGUCAGUGAGGAAAUCGCGUAUCUCGACCCGCCAGUUGGUUGGAUCGGCUGCGUCUGGAUUGUGAUUCGUUCCGACGAAAUUGAUAGUAUCGAUUGCUUCGAUGCUUGGUCGGUCUACGCUUUCCACCGGGAUAAUACGUCGAAGGUCAGUGUCCGAUGUGGAUCCUAAUGCGGCGAGAGCGUCGGCCGGUGCGUUAUCUCCUCGCGGGAUUUUGGUUAGUUCAAAAUGUGUAAACUGUGAGGAUAACUUCUUGACGACCUUGAGGUACGCCUCCAUAGUGUCGUUUUUGUCUUCGUAUUCGCCGCUAAAUUGAUUUGCGACGAGCUGUGAGUCUACGUAUGCUUGGACUCGUUUGAUCUUCAUUCCUAGAGCGAGACGUAGUCCGGCAAUGAGUGCUUCGUAUUCGGAGACGUUAUUUGUUGCCGCAAAGCCAGACGGAACGAUUGCUCGAUCAUUUCCCCGGUUGGCGAGACCAAUCGUAUACCGACGCCAGAGCCGUGUGACGAUGAAGACCCGUCGGCGUACAACGUCCAGACGCCGUUCUGAGGGUCACCUGGCUCGGGGUCGCUGCUUAGGUCUUUCGGAACGAGCGGUAGUUCGAUGAGGAAGUCGGCUAGGACUUGCGACUUCAUGGCUGGUCUGGUCCUGAAGUCCAUAUCGUAUUCGCUGAGCUCAAUUGCCCAUUUAGCCAUUCUCCCGGACUGGCUCGGACUGUGUAGCGCGGUUCGUAGUGGUUGGUCUGUGAGAACGGCGAUUGUGUGGGAUUGAAAGUAGGGGCGUAAUUUCCUGGCCGACGUUACGACCGCUAGUGCGGCUUUUUCCAUUGUGGGGUAGCGUGUUUCGGCCUCGAUGAGGGACUUACUGACGUAAAAGAUCGGUUUUUGAUCGCCUCGGUCAUCUUUAACAAGUACGCCGCUCACGGCCGAACUUGAUACCGCGAUGUACAGGAAUAGUGUUUCGCCGAUUUCUGGUUUAGCAAGAACCGGGGGCGUCGUGAGGUAUUGUUUGAGUUUGUUGAAAGCAUUUUCACUCGCCUCGUCCCAUGCAAACUUGUCCUUCCUUUUUAAGAGGUUAUAGAAGGGUAAGCACUUGUCUGUCGAUCUGGCGAUGAAGCGGUUGAGAGCGGCGAUCCGUCCUGUUAGUUGCUGCACCUCGCGUGCGUUCUUUGGAGAAGGCAGAUCGAGGAUUGCACGAAUUUGCUUUGGAUUAGCCUCGAUCCCCCUUUGCGUGACCAUGUACCCUAGGAACUCGCCGGAUGUUACGCCGAAUGUGCAUUUCGCGGGGUUUAAUUUCAUAUUGUAUUCGUUCAGCACGUCGAAGCAUUGGCUUAGGUGUCGGACAUGGUCGGCCGCUACUAGAGAUUUUACCAGCAUGUCGUCUAUGUAAACUUCGACGGUUCGUCCGAGCUGAUCAGCGAACAUCUUAUUUACCAAAUGUUGGUACGUCGCACUGGUGUUUUUGAGGCCGAAUGGCAUCACCUUGUAACAAUAGGUUCCUCGGUCUGUGAUGAACGAGGUCUUUUCCCUAUCAUCUCUGUGCAUGAGGAUUUGAUUGUAUCCCGAGAAUGCAUCCAUGAAGGACAGGAGUUCGUUCCCGGCGGUCGCUUCGACUAUCCUGUCGAUGUGAGGGAGCGGGUAGCUAUCUUUUGGGCACGCCUUAUUGAGGUCGGUAAAGUCUACGCAAACACGCCAUUUGUCGUUCUUCUUCUUUACAACGACCGGGUUCGCUAGCCAUUCUGGAUAUUUUACCUCAGUUAUCGAGCCAGCCUUCAACAGCUUGUCGACUUCGUCAUUUACGGCCUUGGCUCGCUCCGGUCCCAAUUUUCACCUUUUCUACUUUACCGGUUUAUAGGUCGAGUCGACGUUGAGAUCGUGCGUAACGAUCAUAGGGUCGAUGCCUAUCAUGUUGUCUAUGCUCCAGGCGAACGUCUUAGAAUUCUGUUUUAGGAAUGUGAUGAGUGGCUCUUUAACCGAUGGUACUAUCUCGGCACCGAUUGCGACGCAUCUUGUCUUAUCCGUCUCGUCAAUAUUCACUUGUUCCGUCCUGCUCAGUUGAGGUUCUUCAAGGGACUUUUCUCGGGUCGGGGCAGUCGACGAUGCUGGCGUCGUUAAUUGCUAUAACUUCUUAGAGAUGCGGUUCUUGUGUUCGAUGAGAAAACAUGUUCUUGCGACCUGUUGAUUCCCUCUCAAGGUGAACACUCCGUUGUGUGUUGGGAACUUGAUGCACUGGUGGUAUGUGGACGGGAUCGCCUGCAUUUGAUGCAUCCAGGGUGUCCCCAAAAUAACGUUGUAAACUGCGGGCUUGUCAAUUACGACGAACUUGACCCACGAGAUCGUUCCUCCGACGAAUACGGGCAACUUGAUCGUUCCGAUUGUCAUUACGAAGUCACCAUCGAAUCCGGCCAACGGGCACGACACGGGUUUUAUUUGCCGAUCGCUGACGUUCAUUAUAGCCAAAACGUCCUUGAAGAUGAGGUCGACUGAGCUUCCAGUAUCGAUGAGCACCUUAGUUACUCGGGUAUCGCCGAUAAUGAGUUCGACGACGAGAGGAUCGUUAUGCGGUGUAUCGAUGCCCUCCAGGUCGGAUUGGGUAAACGAUAUGGGUUCGUCGACGGGCGUAGUUGGUGGUGCGCUCGUCGACGGCCAUACUUCCUUCAUCUCAGCUUUUUUGCGAUAUUGUUUAAUUGACCGAACAGAAUCGUUGCAGUUUUACAGUCCGCCCAUUAUCAUUCGGACCUGUCUGACGACCACCGGAGCUUCGGCUAGUGCCUUUCCAUUCCGAGGUCUUUUGACGGGAUCAUUCGCAUCCUCGAUUUCCUCGGUUUUCGCAUCGUCUUGUAGGUAUUGACGAGCCAUACUCUCGUUACGUUUUUGAUCCUUACCUCCUUGGACGCGAUCGCACUCGAUCGCGAUGCUUCCGCUCUUAUAUCUUGCCAUCAGUAAGCUUUGCAGAUACCGGCAAUCUUCAGUGGCGUGUGCUUUACUUUUAUGGUAUUCACAGAAUAUUGACGUCGGUGCCGAGGAAUCGGUGUCCCUUACGUAUUUGUUCCACGGCCUUGGUGAUGGUGCCUCGCUAUUAACGACGAAGGUCGUGGGUCGUCGUGCCUGGCCGAUGUUACCUUUGGAAUGUUGUUUUGGCUCAGCGUUGUUUGCUGCGUUAGGUAUGGCCGAAGCAGUCUCCUUGGUUACAGAUGUUUUGGGCGGAUUAUGCUUUUGGGCUAGAACGAGCCGCUUCUCUUCGAGCUCGAUAUACCGCGAACCUCUAUGCAGUGUGUCCUCGAGAGUGUUCGGAGCAUGAAGAGUGAUAUCAUCCCUGUAUUUUGAAUCGUACCAGACGGCGUUGCGGAGGGCUACUAUCGCGGCCUCGUCAGGGAUGGUGAUUCUGGUUACCACUACCUUGAAACGAUCGAUAAACGAUCGGAGUGACUCCUUGGGGCCUUGCGAUAGGGACCAUAGGUCGGCGUUGGACGUCUGAUUCUCGAUAAGAGGUGAAUAGUGCUUUAGGAAAGACGAUGACAAUUGGUUGAAGCUGCUGCUGAUUUCUGGCACCGCCCUGCCUCGAAGUUUUCUGGAGUAAGCUCGGCGCGGUUAAUCGCCACGCUGAAAGAUUGUAGGAAUUCCUUAGGGUCGCCUUUUCCGUUGUACCUUUCCAAUUUGAUUUUCUUGGAUCCGCGGACGGAAACGCUUGUGAUUCUUCGGGUGAAAGCGGUUUGCUGAGUUUCCUCGAGUACGCGGUCGAGUUCCGGAGCCGAGCUAGUGGCACGGUGAAUUUUCGAGCUCAUUUCCAGGAUAGCGCGUCUUAGUUCGGCGAUCUCCGUAUCUCGCGGAUUGGUGCUGCCCAUGGUUUGGACGGGCUGAGCUGCCUGGGGACGUCCGGGGAGCUCUGGGGUGUAGACAGCGUUUGCACUUCGACUUGUUUGCAGACGGUUGAUCUCGUCCAUGGAGAAUGCUUGAGCCGUGGCCAGAGAUGCGAACCAAGCAUUUGUUCGUGUGUCCUGUCGACCUAGAUGGUCGAGGAUGUUCUGGAGCAGCCGGUUUGGCUUAGCGGGAGUUGGUGCCGCAGCGUGCUAUUCUGCACGGGUUUCCUCGAGGUUCGUUGGACGUCGUCUGCUGGGAGAGGUUGGUUCGCCUUCCUCCUGGUGUGCCGGGGGCGUUUCGUUUCUUACUGCUUCUGCUGGCCCCCCGGGCGUCUGAGGUAACGAUGCGGGAAUAGCUACCGAGGUAUGGGUAGCCUUCCUUGUCGGAAGUACUCCUGGUGGGAUCGGCGUCACUGUCUCUCCUCCUGUGGAGGAUGCGUUGUCGUCUCGGACGCCCGUGCUGGUUCCCUGGUUUCCAUCGGUUGCCAUUGUGUUGUCGCGGGCUCGUUUUGUUGACUGGAGAAAUCUCUGAGCUAUCCCCCUACCUGGCGCGCCAACUGUUGAUGCACGAAUCACACAAGUACAAAAUAGGGUUUCUUUAGGAAAGUAAAAAGAAUCUCCCAAAAACAAUGCGAGCCGAGAGUACAAAUGGCGUUAAACAAGCCGAAAUGAAUGACUUCGGACUAGAGAUGUCGGGUCGUUUCUGAGGCCGAACUGUAGAUCGUAUUCCGAGCUGAAUGAAGCUUGAGGUCGCUUUCCUUUUCCAGACUGAGAUCGUUCUUCGUGUCCUAGCCGAGCUCUUCGUGUCCUUGCCGUGUCAGCGUGAUUUUCGAUGGAUGUGAUAGGACUGGACGUCCUGCUUUUAUAGCCACGCAGAGUAGGGCAUACUCUGACAACUUUUACCGAUUUUACCCUUGGGCGUGAUGACGUUGCGGACCCGUAUGGCGGUGAGAUCGUCUAGGCUUUACUGCCUUUGGGCCGCGGCCCGCUUUAUCGAUGGGCUUCCUUCCUCAAAUUGGGCCGCCUAUCACGAAAGCCCAAUUUCUCCCUCAACAUUCUAGAAUUGAUCAGAUCAAACGAGAGACAACCACAGUUGCAUGUAUUCACUGGCGACUUGAGGAUUCUGGCUGCGAAAAGAUGAAAUUCGAUUCUUGAUGAUGCUUUCAAUGAGGCGAAUAAUUGAGUCAGUUGACCGGUGAGUUUGCCGAUGAAGUCUAUUGUUCCGCUCCUUCUAAAUUUCAUAGAACAUGAUUUGCCAAGCCAGCAGAAGGAUGUAUCUGGUCUUCAUAUCACCGGAGUAUGAAAUUAGGUAUUCUAGUAAAUUAUUCCAGUCCAUGGAAGAGGAGAAUCUAGAAAUUCUGAGUGCCAAAUUGCUCCAAACAGAGUAAGAGUAGUGACAUGCAAAGAAGAGAUGAUCUCUGCUUUCCAGAGCCUGAUUGCAAAGUAAACACAUCGGAUCCACAGAUAGUCCAAAGGAGAGAAGCCGAUCUCGAGUAGGGCAUCGAUUAAGAAUAAACAUCCAAGUAAGCGUCCUAUGCUUUGGUAUCCCUCUCUUUAUCCAGACAAUCUUCCACCAAUUUACUACCGGUUUCACAUCUACUAAUUCCUGGUAAAUUAGAUUGGAGCAGAAGUCUUUGCGAUUGAUGUCGUUUAUCCUUCAGUGAGGCUUGUCUUCAGAGAGUAGCACCCUAACUUCACGUCCACAAGAUCAACAAUUUCAACCUUGUUUACUUCAUCAACAAGUAAGAACUCAAAGUAUGCCAUGUUGGGCAUAAAUGUGUAAGACACAUCUUGUUGUUUGCAUAGAGGAUUCAAAUUUAUCCCGAGUGCGGUUUCGGAAGAAAGAUAAUUCAUGCAAAUGAUAGGCAACUUGUUGGAGACUUGGAGUAGAACUCCAAUGUUGAAAUGUAUUGAGUCAUCUGACCUAUAACAAUACAUUCAAUAAAUUUGGUUUUUGGCUAAAGUCUUGUAAUUAUACCUUCCCAUGAAAUUUGGUUGCAUUCUUUUUCUAUCAAGUUUGCUAAUUCAGGAUUAGGUCCUCCAAGGAUCUCAGACACGCAGUCCCUACAACUAAUGUCUUCAAUCCACUCGCUCACAUGACCCAUUCUAAUGUUACUACACAAUCCCUUCCAAUACUCUUUAAGAAAAUUGAUAGCUCGAACCAAGGCAGAAGCAAAAGCAGCACUCACACUCACAACAUCUUCUCUCUGGACAAGUCCACUGAGAAGAUGACAAUACAUGCUCUGCUUACUGUCUCCACAAAAAGUGAUUUCGUUGGGACUUGUGUGAACUUUUGAUGCCAGGUUCCUAAAGUAAUCUCUCUUUAAGACGUUUGUACUCACAGGAACAGCUGGCAGACCCGAAGGAGUUGUAGAUUCCGGUUUAAUGAAAUCAAACCUCAACACCUUUCCUUUCUCGGCACCAUUGAUAUGCCUAUAAACCG
Molecule: long non-coding RNA, 12249 nt
Filed under: Arabidopsis lyrata
Lineage: Eukaryota; Viridiplantae; Streptophyta; Magnoliopsida; Brassicales; Brassicaceae
Description: long non-coding RNA (ALYR_LNC003424)
Source: RNAcentral